RNAcentral lists this long non-coding RNA (1733 nucleotides) under Salmo salar (Atlantic salmon). RNAcentral's name for it is "lncRNA (ENSSSAG00000103010.1)". Lineage: Eukaryota; Metazoa; Chordata; Actinopteri; Salmoniformes; Salmonidae. The record is from RNAcentral.
UGUGAGCGCCUGCCACUCUUGCUCCUGGCUGUGGUGCUGUAUCAGUGUCAUCACUCAGGAUGGACUCCCCACCACUCUACCUGCCUCUGCUGCUGCUGACCAGUCUGCUCACCCUGGCAAGGGGCAGGAGCUCAGUCAUGUAAGUAUGAGACACAAUUACUUUCUGUAUUUGAUGCCACUUUAAUAAAUGCACCAGAGAGCUGGAAGAGUCCCAGCAUAGAGACAGUUUGAGGGCAGUUGGUCCUCUCUACGGUUGAUAAGCGGCUAUUUUUAUGCCUCACACAAAAUAGUUAUUUUUGUAGGAAAUGGGUAUUGUGAGCAUCUGGCUUCCUUGAUAUUUUCAUGUUUUUCAUUCGAUUUAUUGAAGGUAUUUUAAGCGGAAUACGCAGCUGGUUUCAUUGUUUUGUGUCAGCAUGUGAACGAGCUUCUGAGAUGUUAAACCUCUUUGAUCCACCUACAUUCUCAGAUACUGUAAUGGUUUUAUUUUUUCUCAGCAACUUAGUUCAUUCUGUGCUCUCGUUGGGGUAUUGAGAGGGAGCUGGUGGUAUAUAACUGUAAUAACAGAUCGUAUCUAUUCCCCGAAGGCUGAGUCACAAAUUUGGCUCCAAAGUACUUUUGGCUCAGGUCUCAACCAUUUCUCCUGCAUGGCUGAGCUGUAUGUGUACCUAUUCUAAAAGUAUUACCAGGGAGGAUGUGGAACAAAAUGCCCGCUUUGUUGUGGCAGCUCAGGCCCAAUAGUGUUGUUGGUAUUGAGUGCGAACAGGAGCCAAGGUAAAGCCACAGCCCUCCCAGGGGAGGGGAAGGUUGGUCUGUGUUUGUUAAAGUGUUUUCCUCCUUUCCUUCCUCCUCCACCUCCUGCUUACUGUGCAGUGGAGUGGAGGGUCGCCAGGCACACCUCCUGCUUACUGUGCAGUGGAGUGGAGGGCCGCCAGGCACACCUCCUGCUUACUGUGCAGUGGAGUGGAGGGUCGCCAGGCACACCUCCUGCUUACUGUGCAGUGGAGUGGAGGGCCGCCAGGCACACCUCCUGCUUACUGUGCAGUGGAGUGGAGGGCCGCCAGGCACACCUCCUGCUUACUGUGUAGUGGAGUGGAGGGCCGCCAGGCACACCUCCUGCUUACUGUGCAGUGGAGUGGAGGGCCGCCAGGCACACCUCCUGCUUACUGUGCAGUGGAGUGGAGGGUCACCAGGCACAUCUCCUGCUUACUGUGGAGGGCCGCCAGGCACCAGGGAAGGGCCUUCCUCUGUCUGGAGGACUCUACCUGCACUGUAAAGGAGAAAGCACAGAGGGAACUCCCAGGCUAGUCUUGAAGAAUAGUCAAUUUAGCCUUGGAUAUUUUGUACCCCAAAUAGUAGUUUGCAUUAGCCUUGGAUGUCAUGGUGUCUUUGUGUGUCUGUGUGUGUGGUUGUCCAGUAUUCACCAUAGAUAGUGUGACACUCAAACUGGACCCCAGUGGCGAGGUAACCAGUGGGAUCUAGAAAAAAGAAACGCACACCUAUAAAGGCGAGGUGCUGGCUAGCGGAGUAGAAAACUAGAAAAUAAGGGAAAGCCGCACACUCUAAGAGCUCAGAUGCAAAAAUUUUAUAACCAACAUUUCGACAGCAAAGCUGUCUUCAUCAGGGUAUCAUCACAAACACUGCGAGAUGAGUCAUUUAUAUAGUGUCAAGAGACACACAGGUGUUUGUAAUCAUGGCCAAGUGUGGCCUAAUAUCAUUGGUUAACUCAAAUAUUU